UACACUCCUACGGGAGGCAGCAGUGGGGAAUAUUGCCCAAUGGGCGCAAGCCUGAUGCAGCCAUGCCGCGUGUAUGAAGAAGGCCUUCGGGUUGUAAAGUACUUUCAGCGGGGAGGAAGGCGAUAAGGUUAAUAACCUUGUUGAUUGACGUUACCCGCAGAAGAAGCACCGGCUAACUCCGUGCCAGCAGCCGCGGUAAUACGGAGGGUGCAAGCGUUAAUCGGAAUUACUGGGCGUAAAGCGCACGCAGGCGGUCUGUCAAGUCGGAUGUGAAAUCCCCGGGCUCAACCUGGGAACUGCAUUCGGAACUGGCAGGCUAGAGUCUUGUAGAGGGGGGUAGAAUUCCAGGUGUAGCGGUGAAAUGCGUAGAGAUCUGGAGGAAUACCGGUGGCGAAGGCGGCCCCCUGGACAAAGACUGACGCUCAGGUGCGAAAGCGUGGGGAGCAAACAGGAUUAGAAACCCGUGUAGUCCCAUG
This 476-nucleotide ribosomal RNA is filed under the name uncultured organism. Its description in RNAcentral is "partial 16S ribosomal RNA". It matches the Rfam family "Bacterial small subunit ribosomal RNA", at positions 332 to 799 of the family's 1533-position model. The record is from RNAcentral.